RNAcentral lists this ribosomal RNA (430 nucleotides) under bacterium. RNAcentral's name for it is "partial 16S ribosomal RNA". It matches the Rfam family "Bacterial small subunit ribosomal RNA", at positions 355 to 776 of the family's 1533-position model. The record is from RNAcentral.
UGGGGAAUAUUGGACAAUGGGCGGAAGCCUGAUCCAGCCAUGCCGCGUGUGUGAAGAAGGCCUUUUGGUUGUAAAGCACUUUAAGCGAGGAGGAGGCUACUUGGAUUAAUACUCUAGGAUAGUGGACGUUACUCGCAGAAUAAGCACCGGCUAACUCUGUGCCAGCAGCCGCGGUAAUACAGAGGGUGCGAGCGUUAAUCGGAUUUACUGGGCGUAAAGCGUGCGUAGGCGGCUUCUUAAGUCGGAUGUGAAAUCCCUGAGCUUAACUUAGGAAUUGCAUUCGAUACUGGGAAGCUAGAGUAUGGGAGAGGAUGGUAGAAUUCCAGGUGUAGCGGUGAAAUGCGUAGAGGUCUGGAGGAAUACCGAUGGCGAAGGCAGCCAUCUGGCCUAAUACUGACGCUGAGGUACGAAAGCAUGGGGAGCAAACAGG